RNAcentral lists this long non-coding RNA (232 nucleotides) under Mytilus galloprovincialis (Mediterranean mussel). Lineage: Eukaryota; Metazoa; Mollusca; Bivalvia; Mytilida; Mytilidae. The record is from RNAcentral.
GCAACUGAUGAUGUCGUAACUCUGAACGAAUAUUUGAUAUACCUAAUUUUAUUCGCAGACGAUACCGUUUUGUUUGGGAAAUCACCUGAUAUUUUACAACAGUUACUUAAUAAAUUGUCAACAUAUUGUAUAAAAUGGAAUAUUGAAGUAAACACUGACAAAACCAAAGUGAUUGUAUUUAGAAAUGGCUGGCAGCGGGUUAAGAAUAAUUUUUUUCUAUGACAACAACGAA